Molecule: ribosomal RNA, 557 nt
Filed under: Paratrichodorus sp. NK-2011a
Lineage: Eukaryota; Metazoa; Nematoda; Enoplea; Triplonchida; Trichodoridae
Description: SSU rRNA
Rfam family: Eukaryotic small subunit ribosomal RNA
Source: RNAcentral
UUCAGACCGUAAACGAUGCCAUCUGGCGAUCCAUGGGUGUUAUAUAUGACUCCAUGGGCAGCCACCGGGAAACCUUUAAGUUGGGUUCCGGGGGAAGUAUGGUUGCAAAGCUGAAACUUAAAGGAAUUGACGGAAGGGCACCACCAGGAGUGGAGCCUGCGGCUUAAUUUGACUCAACACGGGGAAACUCACCCGGCCCGGACACUGUAAGGAUUGACAGAUUGAUAGCUCUUUCUUGAUUCGGUGGGUGGUGGUGCAUGGCCGUUCUUAGUUGGUGGAGCGAUUUGUCUGGUUUAUUCCGAUAACGAACGAGACUCUAGCCUACUAAAUAGACAACACUUUCUUUGAGUGUUGCGCUUCUUAGAGGGACAAGCGACGUUUAGUCGCACGAGAUUGAGCAAUAACAGGUCUGUGAUGCCCUUAGAUGUUCGGGGCUGCACGCGCGCUACACUGAAAGCAUCAACAUGCAUAUCAACCUACCUCGGAAGAGGCGGGUAACCCUUUGAAACGCUUUCGUGAUUGGGAUUGUGAAUUGCAAUUAUUUCACAUGAACGAGG